GUAUUUUGAAUUAUGUUUAUUCAUGAUACAAUGAUUCAGACAAACUAGUUAAAGGUAAAUUAAUUAGAAGAGAUCUCAAGCCUCUCUAAAAGAGAGACAAAAAGACUCUUAACGAUGCACACAAGGUGGGUAUGGAUUUUUUAGAGUGCCAUAAACACUCGUUAUGAAUGAUCCUUCCGCAGGUUCACCUACGGAAA
RNAcentral lists this unclassified non-coding RNA (197 nucleotides) under uncultured fungus. Its description in RNAcentral is "sequence contains ITS1". Lineage: Eukaryota; Fungi. The record is from RNAcentral.